RNAcentral lists this microRNA precursor (147 nucleotides) under Olea europaea subsp. europaea. Lineage: Eukaryota; Viridiplantae; Streptophyta; Magnoliopsida; Lamiales; Oleaceae. The record is from RNAcentral.
GGUCAAAAGUAAAAGGGAAAGAAAUGUCGCCGGAAGCGUUCGGUUGAGAGUUGUAGGAAAUGAAUCUUUUUCUUUUACUGAGAUUCUUUCAUUCCUACACCUCUCAUACCAAAGGUUUGCGAACUUUCCUCCCCUUUCCUUUUGUCU